UGGCCAGGUUAUGUGCCACGUUGCUGAUGUCCACCCUGACCAAUUUGAGCGCAGGAAGCAAAGCUGAGAAUCGAUGCCCACCCAGCUCCGGCUUCUCCGGCGAGGCUACCGAGCCGCCGCCGCCGCCGCCGCCGUCGCGGCGUCCAAGGCAGGGGCGAGGAGGAAGGUUCUUGAUGGAACCCCCGCGGCGCUCGGCUUCCGGAUGCCGGCUGAGUGGGAGCCGCACGACCAGUGCUGGAUUGGGUGGCCGGACGCUCAAGGAUUUUGGAGAGAUGCGGCUGCCCCUGCUCAAAAAGCCUUUGCAAAUGUUGUAGAUGCAAUCUCAAGGUUUGAGCCAGUAACUGUAUGCUGUAACGCUACCCAGUACGCGAGGGUAGUCCAUUUGAUGGAACAUAAAUCCAAUGUUAGAGUGGUAGAGAUGAGCGCUUGUCUUGUUUGGUUGCGUGAUUUGGGCCCCAGUGUAAGAAUUCUCCUCUCUGUUUUAUGGAGGAAAUCGCUGUACUCACUGGAAUUGGCUUUGUUGACCCACUAUUUAUUCUAUCAUCAGUUUGUCGUGCGUGAAGGCGACACAAGAUUGAGGAGAGAAAUUGCAGGGGUGGAUUGGCAGUACAAUGCAUAUGGAGGUUAUAAUGGUUUAUUUGGGCCAGAAGAUCAUCAGCUCAAUAGGAGAAAAGGACAUGAAGAACAUAUAACUGAAGACAACCUUGUUGCCAGGAAGGUUUUGGAAUUGGAGAGGAUUCCAAGGUUUGAAACCAAUUUUGUUCUUGAAGGUGGAAGCAUUCAUGUCGACGGAGAAGGAACCUGUAUCACCACUGAGCAGUGUUUAUGCCAUGGGAACAGAAAUCCCCACAUGAGUAAGGAUGAGAUAGAGAACCAGCUGAAGACUCAUCUUGGUGUGUCGAAGGUCAUAUGGUUACCCAAAGGGCUUUACGGGGAUGAAAUGAUCAGUGGGCAUGUUGACAACAUAUGCUGCUUUACUGGUCCAUCCACUGUUCUCUUAUCAUGGAUCGACGACAAAUCUGAUCCUCAGUAUGAGCAUUCAGCUGCCGCAUUCGACGUUCUGUCCAAUACCACUGAUGCCAAGGGCCGGAAGUUAGAUAUUAUCAAGAUUCAUGUCCCUGGGCCACUGUACAUGACUGAAGAAGUAGCACAACCAUUUCUAGGCUCGGUGGCAUUAGGGCAGCAGAGGUUAGCUGGAUCGUAUGUGAACUUCUACAUCGCCAAUGGUGGGGUUGUAGCACCAGCCUUUGGUGACAAGUGGGAUGAAGAAGCACGCAAAAUUUUGGAGAAAGUGUUUCCCAAACACGAGGUAGUGAUGGUGGAAGGGGGGAGGGAGAUUGUCCUCGGAGGAGGAAACAUUCAUUGCGCGACGCAGCAGCAACCUGCCGUUUGCCCCCAUCCCUCUGAUGCGGACACCAUGGAGGGUCAGGGUUGAGGGAAGGGGCGAGAAGCUGGCACCAUGAUGGACAGGCAAAAGAAAAGGAGAGGGGAAAAAUACCAGCAUAUACGGUGGUAAUGUUGCCCACUUGAAGAUAGACGAUUUAUGCCUGUCUCGUGGUCUCAGGGAUCAGGGAUCAACAAAUCCUAUAGAAGUCUGCAAACUGAACGAAGCACACGCAAAAGAUCAAGUGUUUCUCUCUUCUUCUUGUUUGCACAAAUCUCUUCUAGGCGCUGACUGGGCAGAGAACGCUGAGUAGACCAGGAUCGCAACCCCCAACAAACCCCAAUCUCCAUUCUCCGCCUUUCUUUCCUUUCUUGACCAGCAGCUCCGGCGCCAGGGCCGGCCGGGAGGCUGCUGCGGCGACCUCCACUCACGCCGCGCAGCCGGUGGUGGCAAAGGCGGCGCUCGUUGGGAGCACUCCGCGCGCGGCCAGGCCGACGUGCGCCUCCGCGCAGAAGAGCGGCGGCGGGGGCUGCGAGGGGCACCGCGCAUGCCGGUACGCCUACUGCUCCUUCAAGGGCCACGCGCCCGCGGCGCCGCCGCUGGGGGCCUUCCUGGCGUCCCGGAGCAGAGCAUGAAGCACAGGGGUGUCUCCGCGUUCCGCAACCCCAAGACCAAUCCCAAUCCCAGCAGCAAUGUCGCCGGCAAAGGGGACGACGGGUUCUUCGUCCAGGUGGCGUGUCCCGGCGACGGCGCCCGCCCGAAGACGGCGAGCUCGGGCUCCUGCUGCAGCGGCCUCUCCGCCGAGGAGGUGGAGUCUCCCUACGUCAACUUCGGUCGCCGGAGUCUCCGGGGCGGGACGGACAAGUGGGCCGACCCGGGCGCCUCGGUGGACGGCUCCUGCGGGUCCAGCGAUGUUGUGUAUCGACUGAAGGAACGACGCCAGCUUGUCGAAGAACAAAAUGUUGGAUGCGUAUGUGUGUGAUUUGGAAGUCAAGCAUCGUGGAGAAGUUGAUGUCUUGAAGAAUAAGAUUCAGAAACUGCAGUUCUUCUUUGUGCUUGCUCUGUUCUGCUUUGUCAUUUCACACUCUUGGAAAUGAUUGUCGUGAAGAAGAAGAGGAAGAAGAAGAAGAAGAAGAAGCUAGUUUGUGAAGGAGUCAUUUAUGUAUGCUGUUUUGCUUUGUAAGCUUUUAACCAAGCAUUCAGAAUGUAUGCUGUUAAAAGGAUUCAGAAUUUGUACUGUAUCUUCUUAUGCAAAAUUCAGAAUUUGGUACAAUGCCUCUUGCAAGUGUUAUGAAAAGAUUCAGAAUUUGGUACAA
RNA transcript from Triticum aestivum (bread wheat), 2700 nucleotides. It is a transcript of the gene named agmatine deiminase, with no coding region annotated. NCBI's taxonomy places the organism in Eukaryota, Viridiplantae, Streptophyta, Magnoliopsida, Poales, Poaceae. The transcript has 11 exons. The record is from RefSeq and is a predicted model, not a curated record.